GACGUAGGGGGGCAAGCGUUGUCCGGAAUCAUUGGGCGUAAAGCGCUCGUAGGCGGACUUUUAAAUCGGUGAAGAAAGACCUGGGCUCAACUCAGGGAACGGCAUCGAUACUAUUGGUCUUGAGGUAAUUAGAGGAUAGUGGAAUUCCCGGUGUAGUGGUGAAAUGCGUAGAUAUCGGGAGGAACACCAGUGGCGAAGGCGACUAUCUGGGGUGCAACUGACGCUGAGGCGCGAAAGGCUAGGGUAGCAAACAGGG
RNAcentral lists this ribosomal RNA (256 nucleotides) under uncultured bacterium. RNAcentral describes it as "partial 16S ribosomal RNA". It matches the Rfam family "Bacterial small subunit ribosomal RNA", at positions 524 to 777 of the family's 1533-position model. The record is from RNAcentral.